This 2782-nucleotide ribosomal RNA is filed under the name Escherichia coli. Its description in RNAcentral is "bacterial LSU rRNA". It matches the Rfam family "Bacterial large subunit ribosomal RNA". The record is from RNAcentral. Lineage: Bacteria; Pseudomonadati; Pseudomonadota; Gammaproteobacteria; Enterobacterales; Enterobacteriaceae.
CACACUAUCAUUAACUGAAUCCAUAGGUUAAUGAGGCGAACCGGGGGAACUGAAACAUCUAAGUACCCCGAGGAAAAGAAAUCAACCGAGAUUCCCCCAGUAGCGGCGAGCGAACGGGGAGCAGCCCAGAGCCUGAAUCAGUGUGUGUGUUAGUGGAAGCGUCUGGAAAGGCGCGCGAUACAGGGUGACAGCCCCGUACACAAAAAUGCACAUGCUGUGAGCUCGAUGAGUAGGGCGGGACACGUGGUAUCCUGUCUGAAUAUGGGGGGACCAUCCUCCAAGGCUAAAUACUCCUGACUGACCGAUAGUGAACCAGUACCGUGAGGGAAAGGCGAAAAGAACCCCGGCGAGGGGAGUGAAAAAGAACCUGAAACCGUGUACGUACAAGCAGUGGGAGCACGCUUAGGCGUGUGACUGCGUACCUUUUGUAUAAUGGGUCAGCGACUUAUAUUCUGUAGCAAGGUUAACCGAAUAGGGGAGCCGAAGGGAAACCGAGUCUUAACUGGGCGUUAAGUUGCAGGGUAUAGACCCGAAACCCGGUGAUCUAGCCAUGGGCAGGUUGAAGGUUGGGUAACACUAACUGGAGGACCGAACCGACUAAUGUUGAAAAAUUAGCGGAUGACUUGUGGCUGGGGGUGAAAGGCCAAUCAAACCGGGAGAUAGCUGGUUCUCCCCGAAAGCUAUUUAGGUAGCGCCUCGUGAAUUCAUCUCCGGGGGUAGAGCACUGUUUCGGCAAGGGGGUCAUCCCGACUUACCAACCCGAUGCAAACUACGAAUACCGGAGAAUGUUAUCACGGGAGACACACGGCGGGUGCUAACGUCCGUCGUGAAGAGGGAAACAACCCAGACCGCCAGCUAAGGUCCCAAAGUCAUGGUUAAGUGGGAAACGAUGUGGGAAGGCCCAGACAGCCAGGAUGUUGGCUUAGAAGCAGCCAUCAUUUAAAGAAAGCGUAAUAGCUCACUGGUCGAGUCGGCCUGCGCGGAAGAUGUAACGGGGCUAAACCAUGCACCGAAGCUGCGGCAGCGACGCUGAUGCGUUGUUGGGUAGGGGAGCGUUCUGUAAGCCUGCGAAGGUGUGCUGUGAGGCAUGCUGGAGGUAUCAGAAGUGCGAAUGCUGACAUAAGUAACGAUAAAGCGGGUGAAAAGCCCGCUCGCCGGAAGACCAAGGGUUCCUGUCCAACGUUAAUCGGGGCAGGGUGAGUCGACCCCUAAGGCGAGGCCGAAAGGCGUAGUCGAUGGGAAACAGGUUAAUAUUCCUGUACUUGGUGUUACUGCGAAGGGGGGACGGAGAAGGCUAUGUUGGCCGGGCGACGGUUGUCCCGGUUUAAGCGUGUAGGCUGGUUUUCCAGGCAAAUCCGGAAAAUCAAGGCUGAGGCGUGAUGACGAGGCACUACGGUGCUGAAGCAACAAAUGCCCUGCUUCCAGGAAAAGCCUCUAAGCAUCAGGUAACAUCAAAUCGUACCCCAAACCGACACAGGUGGUCAGGUAGAGAAUACCAAGGCGCUUGAGAGAACUCGGGUGAAGGAACUAGGCAAAAUGGUGCCGUAACUUCGGGAGAAGGCACGCUGAUAUGUAGGUGAAGUGAUUUACUCAUGGAGCUGAAAUCAGUCGAAGAUACCAGCUGGCUGCAACUGUUUAUUAAAAACACAGCACUGUGCAAACACGAAAGUGGACGUAUACGGUGUGACGCCUGCCCGGUGCCGGAAGGUUAAUUGAUGGGGUUAGCGCAAGCGAAGCUCUUGAUCGAAGCCCCGGUAAACGGCGGCCGUAACUAUAACGGUCCUAAGGUAGCGAAAUUCCUUGUCGGGUAAGUUCCGACCUGCACGAAUGGCGUAAUGAUGGCCAGGCUGUCUCCACCCGAGACUCAGUGAAAUUGAACUCGCUGUGAAGAUGCAGUGUACCCGCGGCAAGACGGAAAGACCCCGUGAACCUUUACUAUAGCUUGACACUGAACAUUGAGCCUUGAUGUGUAGGAUAGGUGGGAGGCUUUGAAGUGUGGACGCCAGUCUGCAUGGAGCCGACCUUGAAAUACCACCCUUUAAUGUUUGAUGUUCUAACGUGGACCCGUAAUCCGGGUUGCGGACAGUGUCUGGUGGGUAGUUUGACUGGGGCGGUCUCCUCCUAAAGAGUAACGGAGGAGCACGAAGGUUGGCUAAUCCUGGUCGGACAUCAGGAGGUUAGUGCAAUGGCAUAAGCCAGCUUGACUGCGAGCGUGACGGCGCGAGCAGGUGCGAAAGCAGGUCAUAGUGAUCCGGUGGUUCUGAAUGGAAGGGCCAUCGCUCAACGGAUAAAAGGUACUCCGGGGAUAACAGGCUGAUACCGCCCAAGAGUUCAUAUCGACGGCGGUGUUUGGCACCUCGAUGUCGGCUCAUCACAUCCUGGGGCUGAAGUAGGUCCCAAGGGUAUGGCUGUUCGCCAUUUAAAGUGGUACGCGAGCUGGGUUUAGAACGUCGUGAGACAGUUCGGUCCCUAUCUGCCGUGGGCGCUGGAGAACUGAGGGGGGCUGCUCCUAGUACGAGAGGACCGGAGUGGACGCAUCACUGGUGUUCGGGUUGUCAUGCCAAUGGCACUGCCCGGUAGCUAAAUGCGGAAGAGAUAAGUGCUGAAAGCAUCUAAGCACGAAACUUGCCCCGAGAUGAGUUCUCCCUGACUCCUUGAGAGUCCUGAAGGAACGUUGAAGACGACGACGUUGAUAGGCCGGGUGUGUAAGCGCAGCGAUGCGUUGAGCUAACCGGUACUAAUGAACCGUGAGGCUUAACCUUACAACGCCGAAGGGGUUUUG